Syzygium oleosum is the source of this 264-nucleotide long non-coding RNA. RefSeq lists it as uncharacterized. Lineage: Eukaryota; Viridiplantae; Streptophyta; Magnoliopsida; Myrtales; Myrtaceae. The record is from RefSeq and is a predicted model, not a curated record. The transcript has 2 exons.
CCAAGCGGCGCAUGUCAGUUUCGUUACCUUUCAGGCGAAGAACUUCAUGCAGCCCAUACUUAUAUUUUACUGAACUGUCCAGAAGUCGAGCCAUACUUCAAAUGACGAAGACGAGGACGAGGACGAGGACGAGGACGAGGACGAGGACGAAGACGAAGACGAAGACGAAGACGAAGAUUAAAAUUUUUGUCACAAAACACUACAGAUGUGUAAUUAUUAAUGCUACAGGUGCUAUUUUGGUUGUUAUCAUUAUUGUUCUUGUUA